Non-coding RNA from Dermacentor albipictus, 300 nucleotides. The record is from RefSeq and is a predicted model, not a curated record. NCBI's taxonomy places the organism in Eukaryota, Metazoa, Arthropoda, Arachnida, Ixodida, Ixodidae.
UUUGGUGCUCAAGAUUUGUCGUCGUUUAGGUACUACGGGGAAGAAAACCGUUUGCUCCGUUUGUCCCUAGCCGAGCUUGCAGCACAGAAUCGACAGGAUGCGUGGCCGGCAAGGCGGAAGAAGCCGCGUCCGAGGGAGAAAGUCAGGUGCAUGUGGUGACCAUUCUCAAAGGGAACUGCAGUUCCUGAGCGGACAUAUACAGCAGAAAGCAUCGCUAUUUAUACAGUCACACAAUAGCCCACCAGCCAUGCUUAGAACGCCACGACAAAGCCACACAAAAUUCAACGUGGUGAUAGCCCG